GGCGAGUGAAGCGGCAACAGCUCAAAUUUGAAAUCUGGCUCUCGGGCCCGAGUUGUAAUUUGUAGAGGAUGCUUUUGGUGAGGUGCCUUCCGAGUUCCCUGGAACGGGACGCCAUAGAGGGUGAGAGCCCCGUCUGGUUGGACGCCGAACCUCUGUAAAGCUCCUUCGACGAGUCGAGUAGUUUGGGAAUGCUGCUCUAAAUGGGAGGUAUAUGUCUUCUAAAGCUAAAUACCGGCCAGAGACCGAUAGCGCACAAGUAGAGUGAUCGAAAGAUGAAAAGAACUUUGAAAAGAGAGUUAAACAGUACGUGAAAUUGUUGAAAGGGAAGCGCUUGUGACCAGACUUGGGCUUGGUUGAUCAUCCGGGGUUCUCCCCGGUGCACUCUUCCGGCUCAGGCCAGCAUCAGUUCGCCCUGGGGGAUAAAGGCAUCGGGAACGUGGCUCUCUCCGGGGAGUGUUAUAGCCCGUUGCGUAAUACCCUGUGGCGGACUGAGGUUCGCGCAUUCGCAAGGAUGCUGGCGUAAUGGUCAUCAGUGACCCGUCUUGAAACACGGACCAAGGAGUCGUCUUCGUAUGCGAGUGUUCGGGUGUCAAACCCCUACGCGAAAUGAAAGUGAACGCAGGUGAGAGCUUCGGCGCAUCAUCGACCGAUCCUGAUGUUAUCGGAUGGAUUUGAGUAAGAGCAUACGGGGCCGGACCCGAAAGAAGGUGAACUAUGCCUGUGUAGGGUGAAGCCAGAGGAAACUCUGGUGGAGGCUCGCAGCGGUUCUGACGUGCAAAUCGAUCGUCAAACAUGGGCAUGGGGGCGAAAGACUAAUCGAACCU
Molecule: ribosomal RNA, 824 nt
Filed under: Fusarium oblongum
Lineage: Eukaryota; Fungi; Ascomycota; Sordariomycetes; Hypocreales; Nectriaceae
Description: partial large subunit ribosomal RNA
Rfam family: Eukaryotic large subunit ribosomal RNA
Source: RNAcentral